RNAcentral lists this ribosomal RNA (497 nucleotides) under uncultured bacterium. RNAcentral describes it as "partial 16S ribosomal RNA". It matches the Rfam family "Bacterial small subunit ribosomal RNA", at positions 28 to 507 of the family's 1533-position model. The record is from RNAcentral.
GACGAACGCUGGCGGCGUGCCUAAUACAUGCAAGUUGAGCGCUGAAGGUUGGUACUUGUACCAACUGGAUGAGCAGCGAACGGGUGAGUAACGCGUGGGGAAUCUGCCUUUGGGCGGGGGACAACAUUUGGAAACGAAUGCUAAUACCGCAUAAAAACUUUAAACACAAGUUUUAAGUUUGAAAGAUGCAAUUGCAUCACUCAAAGAUGAUCCCGCGUUGUAUUAGCUAGUUGGUGAGGUAAAGGCUCACCAAGGCGAUGAUACAUAGCCGACCUGAGAGGGUGAUCGGCCACAUUGGGACUGAGACACGGCCCAAACUCCUACGGGAGGCAGCAGUAGGGAAGCUUCGGCAAUGGACGAAAGUCUGACCGAGAAACGCCGCGUGAGUGAAGAAGGUUUUCGGAUCGUAAAACUCUGUUGGUAGAGAAGAACGUUGGUGAGAGUGGAAAGCUCAUCAAGUGACGGUAACUACCCAGAAAGGGACGGCUAACUACGUG